AUGGGCGAAAGCCUGAUGGAGCAACGCCGCGUGAGUGAAGAAGGUCUUCGGAUCGUAAAGCUCUGUUGCACGGGACGAAAACUGGGUUUGAAAACAUUGAACCUGGGUGACGGUACCGAGCGAGGAAGCCACGGCUAACUACGUGCCAGCAGCCGCGGUAAUACGUAGGUGGCGAGCGUUGUCCGGAAUUAUUGGGCGUAAAGGGAGCGCAGGCGGACAUAUAAGUCCAUCUUAAAAGUGCGGGGCUCAACCCCGUGAGGGGAUGGAAACUGUAUGCCUUGAGUGCAGGAGAGGAAAGCGGAAUUCCCAGUGUAGCGGUGAAAUGCGUAGAUAUUGGGAGGAACACCAGUGGCGAAGGCGGCUUUCUGGACUGUAACUGACGCUGAGGCUCGAAAGCCAGGGGAGCGAACGGGAUUAGAUACCCCGGUAGUCCUGGCCGUAAACGAUGAAUGCUAGGUGUAGGAGGUAUCGACCCCUCCUGUGCCGGAGUUAACGCAAUAAGCAUUCCGCCUGGGGAGUACGGUCGCAAGACUGAAACUCAAAGGAAUUGACGGGGGCCCGCACAAGCGGUGGAGUAUGUGGUUUAAUUCGACGCAACGCGAAGAACCUUACCAGGGCUUGACAUUGAGUGAAAGAGCUAGAGAUAGCUUCCUCCCUUCGGGGACACGAAAACAGGUGGUGCAUGGCUGUCGUCAGCUCGUGUCGUG
RNAcentral lists this ribosomal RNA (707 nucleotides) under Selenomonas sputigena. RNAcentral describes it as "bacterial SSU rRNA". It matches the Rfam family "Bacterial small subunit ribosomal RNA", at positions 371 to 1069 of the family's 1533-position model. The record is from RNAcentral. Lineage: Bacteria; Bacillati; Bacillota; Negativicutes; Selenomonadales; Selenomonadaceae.